CGCCGAAAAUGUACCGGGGCUAAACGUAUCACCGAAGCUGCGGACUGUUCUUCGAACAGUGGUAGGAGAGCGUUCUAAGGGCUGUGAAGCAAGACCGGAAGGACUUGUGGAGCGCUUAGAAGUGAGCAUGCCGGUAUGAGUAGCGAAAGAGGGGUGAGAAUCCCCUCCACCGAAUGCCUAAGGUUUCCUGAGGAAGGCUCGUCCGCUCAGGGUUAGUCGGGACCUAAGCCGAGGCCGAAAGGCGUAGGCGAUGGAUAACAGGUUGAUAUUCCUGUACCACCUCCUCACCAUUUGAGCAAUGGGGGGACGCAGGAGGAUA
RNAcentral lists this ribosomal RNA (319 nucleotides) under Bacillus velezensis. Its description in RNAcentral is "bacterial LSU rRNA". It matches the Rfam family "Bacterial large subunit ribosomal RNA", at positions 1162 to 1484 of the family's 2925-position model. Lineage: Bacteria; Bacillati; Bacillota; Bacilli; Caryophanales; Bacillaceae. The record is from RNAcentral.